UACACUCCUGCGGGAGGCAGCAGUGGGGAAUAUUGCACAAUGGGCGCAAGCCUGAUGCAGCCAUGCCGCGUGUAUGAAGAAGGCCUUCGGGUUGUAAAGUACUUUCAGCGGGGAGGAAGGCAAUACGGUUAAUAACCGUGUUGAUUGACGUUACCCGCAGAAGAAGCACCGGCUAACUCCGUGCCAGCAGCCGCGGUAAUACGGAGGGUGCAAGCGUUAAUCGGAAUUACUGGGCGUAAAGCGCACGCAGGCGGUCUGUCAAGUCGGAUGUGAAAUCCCCGGGCUCAACCUGGGAACUGCAUUCGAAACUGGCAGGCUUGAGUCUUGUAGAGGGGGGUAGAAUUCCAGGUGUAGCGGUGAAAUGCGUAGAGAUCUGGAGGAAUACCGGUGGCGAAGGCGGCCCCCUGGACAAAGACUGACGCUCAGGUGCGAAAGCGUGGGGAGCAAACAGGAUUAGAAACCCGAGUAGUCCC
RNAcentral lists this ribosomal RNA (473 nucleotides) under uncultured organism. RNAcentral describes it as "partial 16S ribosomal RNA". It matches the Rfam family "Bacterial small subunit ribosomal RNA", at positions 332 to 797 of the family's 1533-position model. The record is from RNAcentral.